Oncorhynchus tshawytscha (Chinook salmon) is the source of this 625-nucleotide long non-coding RNA. The record is from Ensembl. NCBI's taxonomy places the organism in Eukaryota, Metazoa, Chordata, Actinopteri, Salmoniformes, Salmonidae.
AGCAUAGUUCCUGGGGGGAACUGUGUGUGUGAUGUAGAAAAGUCCUGGGGGGAACUGUGUGUGGGAUGUAGAAAAGUCCUGGGGGGAACUGUGUGUGGGAUGUAGAAAAUCCUGGGGGGGAACUGUGUGUGUGAUGUAGAAAAGUCCUGGGUGGAACUGUGUGUGUGAUGUAGAAAAGUCCUGGGGGAACUGUUGUGUGAUAUAGCAAAGUCCUGGGGGAACCGUGUGUGAUAUAGCAAAGUCCUGUGGGGAACCGUGUGUGAUAUAGCAAAGUCCUGUGGGGAACCGUGUGAUAUAGCAAAGUCCUGUGGGGAACCGUGUGUGAUAUAGCAAAGUCCUGGGGGGAACCAUGUGUGAUAUAGCAAAGUCCUGGGGGAACCGUGUGUGAUGUAGCAAAGUCCUGGGGGGAACCGUGUGUGUGAUAUAGCAAAAGGACCCCUUGGAGCUGUGCCGUGCUGGGUAAGCCCUGUGUUGUCUUUGACUGCCCCUGUUUGUACAUGAGAGUUCAACGGGUUUAACUCUAGCUAGUUAUGAAAACCUUCCCCACUACUCUACUCCCCAUAGCAGCACAUACAUGCACGCACACAUGCGCGCACUCACACACACACACACACACACACACACA